GAUGAACGCUGGCGGCGUGCUUAACACAUGCAAGUCGAACGGGAAACAUUUUAUUGAAGCUUCGGCGGAUUUAGCUUGUUUCUAGUGGCGGACGGGUGAGUAACGCGUGGGUAACCUGCCUUAUACCGGGGGAUAACAGCCAGAAAUGGCUGCUAAUACCGCAGAAGCGCACGGAGCCGCAUGGCUCUGUGGGAAAAACCCCGGUGGUAUAAGAUGGACCCGCGUUGGAUUAGCUAGUUGGCAGGGCAGCGGCCUACCAAGGCGACGAUCCAUAGCCGGCCUGAGAGGGUGAACGGCCACAUUGGGACUGAGACACGGCCCAGACUCCUACGGGAGGCAGCAGUGGGGAAUAUUGCACAAUGGGGGAAACCCUGAUGCAGCGACGCCGCGUGAAGGAAGAAGUAUCUCGGUAUGUAAACUUCUAUCAGCAGGGAAGAUAAUGACGGUACCUGACUAAGAAGCCCCGGCUAACUACGUGCCAGCAGCCGCGGUAA
This 494-nucleotide ribosomal RNA is filed under the name uncultured bacterium. Its description in RNAcentral is "partial 16S ribosomal RNA". It matches the Rfam family "Bacterial small subunit ribosomal RNA", at positions 28 to 523 of the family's 1533-position model. The record is from RNAcentral.